RNA transcript from Rhododendron vialii, 1177 nucleotides. RefSeq lists it as uncharacterized. Lineage: Eukaryota; Viridiplantae; Streptophyta; Magnoliopsida; Ericales; Ericaceae. The record is from RefSeq and is a predicted model, not a curated record. The transcript has 4 exons.
CCCUAGGAAACUAAGAUGAUCUAAAACAUAUUUUCAAGAUUUAUACUUCACAGGUUGCUUAUUAUGGUUUUAUGUGUAAACUUCUUCGUUUCAUGUGCAGUUAUCUCUAUGAUGGUAUGUUCAAAGGCCAAAGCUAGGAAAUCAGUAGUACCACCUAUGAAAGUGCAGGUCAAGAUGGGUGCAAUAGUUCACGAGGGAAGUAGUUCACACCAGAAGCAACGGAAACCUAGUUGUUUCGCUGUUUAUGUGAAGGAUUUUACUCGAGGUGUAAAGAAAAUAUUUCAAGAAGACAAUAUAAUAAAACAAACAGAGGUGAUGGCAGCCAUGUCGGAAUGGUGGCAUGAGGGAUACUUGCGAAAGAACUACGACAAAACCUAUUCUGGAUCAAGCAGUGAGGAAGAUAAUGAUGAGGUCGAUGUGAAUGAUGAGGAAUUGAGUGAACAAGAGGGCGACAAUUGUCCGCCCCGUCCAAAGAAGAAGAAGAAGAAGAGUAUAGGGGAGAGUAAAAAGAAGAAGAAAGUGUCGGUAUGUCAAUAACUAACGAUGCUUUGUACCGUGCUUAGGAGUUGAAAUGCUUAAUCAUGGGAUUUCACCUUUAUGUGCAUUUAUGUCCAUAUAUAGCUUAAUAUAAAGACAAGGUGUUCCCCUAGGAAAUUUGUUUCCUUGAUUGGUGAAUUGACUCAAGACCAACGUGAUGCAAUCAAAGCAUGUAAUCCAUUCCAUUCAUUACUUCAUGUGAAGUGUGGCCAUCUGCAUAGAGUCUUUGCUAUGCAUUUGGUCCAAUGUUUCAAUCCAGAAACUUGUAGCAUCGAAUUUAGGAGGGGCCUAAUUGUUCAUAUUACUGAAGAAGAUGUUGCAAGAGUUUUAGGGAUGCCAAUAGGGGACACACCCGUGCCUACGGAAUGCCUUGAAUUACACAAAACAAAAAUUGAAGAGGACUUUAAGGGAGGUUUUAAAGGGAUUGAAAUCGUGAAAUUGGAAAAUGUGAUUAAGGAAGGCGAUACUGAUGGGAAGUUUCAUAGGGCUUACAUGCUAUUUACAUUGGGAUGCUUGUUGUGCCCCACCACAAAGGAAGUUGCGAGGAAUAGAUUGUUCCCUGGGGUGAUUGCCGACGACCUUGAAACCUUAAAGACGUAUAAGUGGCCGGCCUUUGUGUUGGAUUGGUUGGUGAACAAGA